Molecule: ribosomal RNA, 253 nt
Filed under: uncultured bacterium
Lineage: Bacteria
Description: partial 16S ribosomal RNA
Rfam family: Bacterial small subunit ribosomal RNA
Source: RNAcentral
UACGUAGGAUCCGAGCGUUGUCCGGAAUUACUGGGUGUAAAGGGCGUGUAGGUGGGUCUCUCAGUCGGGGGUGAAAUCCUGCAGCUCAACUGCAGAAUUGCUUCCGAUACUGGAGGUCUUGAGUGCGGCAGAGGGAGAUGGAAUUCAUGGUGUAGCGGUGAAAUGUGUAGAUAUCAUGAAGAACACCGGUAGCGAAGGCGGUCUCCUGGUCCGUUACUGACACUGAGGCGCGAAAGCGUGGGGAGCAAACAGG